GACGAACGCUGGCGGCGUGCUUAACACAUGCAAGUCGAACGGAAAGGCCCGGCUUUUGUUGGGUGCUCGAGUGGCGAACGGGUGAGUAAAACGGGAGUAAACCGCCCUUGACUUUGGGGUAACUUUUGGGAAAUGGGGCGCAAAUCCGGUAGGAGCUCCUGCUGCAUGGGGGGGGGUGGAAAGUUUCGGCGGUUGGGGAUGGACUCGCGGCUUAUCAGCUUGUUGGUGGGGUAGUGGCUUACCAAGGCUUUGACGGGUAGCCGGCCUGAGAGGGUGACCGGCCACAUUGGGACUGAGAUACGGCCCAGACUCCUACGGGAGGCAGCAGUGGGGAAUAUUGCACAAUGGGCGGAAGCCUGAUGCAGCAACGCCGCGUGCGGGAUGACGGCCUUCGGGUUGUAAACCGCUUUCGCCUGUGACGAAGCGUGAGUGACGGUAAUGGGUAAAGAAGCACCGGCUAACUACGUG
This 468-nucleotide ribosomal RNA is filed under the name uncultured bacterium. RNAcentral describes it as "partial 16S ribosomal RNA". It matches the Rfam family "Bacterial small subunit ribosomal RNA", at positions 28 to 507 of the family's 1533-position model. The record is from RNAcentral.